GAUGAAGAACGUAGCGAAAUGCGAUAAGUAGUGUGAAUUGCUGAAUUCAGUGAAUCAUCGAAUCUUUGAACGCACAUUGCGCCCCUUGGUAUUCCAUGGGGCAUGCCUGUUCGAGCGUCAUUUGUACCCUCAAGCUUUGCUUGGUGUUGGGUGUUUGUCCUCUCCUUUGCGUUUGGACUCGCCUUAAAGCAAUUGGCAGCCAGUGUUUUGGUAUUGAAGCGCAGCACAAUUUGCGAUUCUAACCGACUACACUUGCGUCCAUAAGCCUUUUUUAACUUUUGACCUCGGAUCAGGUAGGGAUACCCGCUGAACUUAAGCAUAUCAAUAAGCGGAGGA
RNAcentral lists this unclassified non-coding RNA (336 nucleotides) under soil metagenome. RNAcentral describes it as "partial contains 5.8S ribosomal RNA, internal transcribed spacer 2, and large subunit ribosomal RNA". The stretch from base 1 to 120 matches the Rfam family "5.8S ribosomal RNA", at positions 35 to 154 of the family's 154-position model. The record is from RNAcentral.